UCCUACGGGUGGCUGCAGUGGGGAAUAUUGCACAAUGGGCGAAAGCCUGAUGCAGCAACGCCGCGUGAGCGAUGAAGGCCUUUGGGUCGUAAAGCUCUGUCCUUGGGGAAGAAAAAAAUGACGGUACCCUUGGAGGAAGCCCCGGCUAACUACGUGCCAGCAGCCGCGGUAAUACGUAGGGGGCAAGCGUUAUCCGGAAUUAUUGGGCGUAAAGAGUGCGUAGGUGGUUUUGUAAGCGCGGGGUGAAAGGCUAUGGCUCAACCAUAGUAAGCCUUGCGAACUGCAAGACUUGAGUGCAGGAGAGGAAAGCGGAAUUCCUAGUGUAGCGGUGAAAUGCGUAGAUAUUAGGAGGAACACCAGUGGCGAAGGCGGCUUUCUGGACUGUAACUGACACUGAGGCACGAAAGCGUGGGGAGCAAACAGGAUUAGAUACCCGAGUAGUCAUA
This 446-nucleotide ribosomal RNA is filed under the name uncultured Anaerovorax sp. RNAcentral describes it as "bacterial SSU rRNA". It matches the Rfam family "Bacterial small subunit ribosomal RNA", at positions 337 to 798 of the family's 1533-position model. Lineage: Bacteria; Bacillati; Bacillota; Clostridia; Peptostreptococcales; Anaerovoracaceae. The record is from RNAcentral.